Long non-coding RNA from Boleophthalmus pectinirostris (great blue-spotted mudskipper), 709 nucleotides. RefSeq lists it as uncharacterized. Lineage: Eukaryota; Metazoa; Chordata; Actinopteri; Gobiiformes; Gobiidae. The transcript is spliced from 2 exons. The record is from RefSeq and is a predicted model, not a curated record.
AGCUUCUCUUUUACCCAUUAAUUACAUUGUUUGAAAUUCUUCAACAAUAUCAUUUAUUUAACCCAUAAAUAAUAUAUAAAAGCUACAAGUACUUUUACUCAGUACUAAAUUAAUAAUACCAGGUUAGAAAAUAAGCCAAUACAACCUAGGUUAAAGUUACUCUAUCACUUGAAUAAAACAAGCCAACAUGCUUAAUUACAUUUUAAACAGAACAUUUUCAAAUGAAUCAAAAAUACGGUGCCUUUAACAUUUUAGCAAUAGUUUAGUGUUUUAUCUAAAAUCAGAAGGGACCGAAAUAACGGUGAUUAAACGUGAUCCGUAUCUAAUACAGACUUUUUAUUUUAGCGGACUUUUAUUUUGGCGACUUUAUUUUGGCAGUCUACUUCCUGUUCUGCUGCCGCACUUUUCCCCUUCUUUUAGGUACAAGCGCUUUUCUUCCCCUCACUCUCAGCUGCGGCUGAUGUGUUUUGUCUGUAAAAACUCUCAACAAAGCUCUGGAAUUUCUAAAUAACGGCGUAUUUCAACUGUCCUGUUAAGAUUUCCCACGGACUGAUUCUGUGAUUUGAAAAACAACCUCAACUCAACAAACUUCCAGAUAAUGAGCUAAGAGUCUGUGCGGUGGGACAGACUAUUUGUUUUGUAUUAUUGGACCUGGGAUUUGUACAAACUGUCUUCAAACUGUAGUUUAUAAUAAAACAACUGAAAAUUA